UUGUCAAGGCUGUGCAAGCUAGAGUUCUCUGCUGCUGGCCCAUGUUCUGACCAGGUUUUUCUUAUUGUUCUUCUGCAUCUCCUGGCCGGACUGGCUGGGACUCACAGACCAAUGGGUCCAGAUCCCAGUGAAAAGCUGCAGUUAAUACUUGUCUAUAAUGACUACAGGCCGAUCCAGGACAGGUCCAGUUAACACGGGUCUAUAAUGACUACAGGCCGAUCCAGGACAGGUCCAGUUAACACGGGUCUAUAAUGACUACAGGCCGAUCCAGGACAGGUCCAGUUAACACGGGUCUAUAAUGACUACAGGCCGAUCCAGGACAGGUCCAGUUAACACGGGUCUAUAAUGACUACAGGCCGAUCCAGGACAGGUCCAGUUAACACGGGUCUAUAAUGACUACAGGCCGAUCCAGGACAGGUCCAGUUAACACGGGUCUAUAAUGACUACAGGCCGAUCCAGGACAGGUCCAGUUAACACGGGUCUAUAAUGACUACAGGCCGAUCCAGGACAGGUCCAGUUAACACGGGUCUAUAAUGACGACAGGCCGAUCCAGGACAGGUCCAGUUAACACGGGUCUAUAAUGACUACAGGCCGAUCCAGGACAGGUCCAGUUAACACGGGUCUAUAAUGACUACAGGCUGAUCCAGGACAGGUCCAGUUAACACGGGUCUAUAAUGACUACAGGCUGAUCCAGGACAGGUCCAGUUAACACGGGUCUAUGAUGACUACAGGCUGAUCCAGGACAGGUCCAGUUAACACGGGUCUAUAAUGACUACAGGCAGAUCAAAGUAAUAGUAAUCCGUAUAGCUGUCUUCAGAAUCUUGAGUCUUCAGAAUCUUGAGUCUUCAGAGUCUUCAGACAGAAU
Molecule: long non-coding RNA, 865 nt
Organism: Oncorhynchus keta (chum salmon)
Lineage: Eukaryota; Metazoa; Chordata; Actinopteri; Salmoniformes; Salmonidae
Exons: 4
Source: RefSeq, a predicted model, not a curated record